Molecule: ribosomal RNA, 1000 nt
Filed under: Corallotaenia parafimbriata
Lineage: Eukaryota; Metazoa; Platyhelminthes; Cestoda; Proteocephalidea; Proteocephalidae
Description: partial 28S ribosomal RNA
Rfam family: Eukaryotic large subunit ribosomal RNA
Source: RNAcentral
AGGAUUCCCCUAGUAACGGCGAGUGAAGAGGGAAGAGCCCAGCACCGAAGCCUGCGGCAGUUUUGCUGUUAGGCAAUGUGGUGUUUGGGUCGGCUCGUGGGACCGCCACUCCACUCGAAGUCCAGCAUAGAGUAUGGUUUCUGGAUUUGGCCCAGAGAGGGUGAAAGGCCCGUACGGGUGGAGUAUCAGACAUGUGAGGUGGUUCACCAGGCCGGCCUUAGAGUCGGGUUGUUUGGGAAUGCAGCCCAAAGCGGGUGGUAAACUCCAUCCAAGGCUAAAUACUAACACGAGUCCGAUAGCGAACAAGUACCGUGAGGGAAAGUUGAAAAGUACUCUGAAGAGAGAGUAAACAGUACGUGAAACCGCAUGCAGGUAAACGGGUGGCGUCAAGCUGCAGGCCCAGAGAAUUCAGUCGGCUAGGAUGUUGUGUAUGCGCCUGGCGCAUCUAUCAGUCGGAGUAUGAUUGGGUAGUCCACCAGUAAACGGUGGGCCUGGCCGCGAGGUCGGGAUAUGUGUACCGGACGGGUGCCGGAGCAUGCUAUCCAUCUGUGGACUGUCUAGCCGGUGCACUUUCUCUGUGGUCAACACCACGACCGGUGGUAUUGCCAGUCUGCUGUGUCCAAGUUGCAUCUGGUGGGUCCUCGUGGCCUACUGGGUGUGAUCACAGGCAAAGUCAGUAAACGGCGUAGAGGUGUCUCGGCACUUUUGCGUGUUAUCGGAUGCUGUUUGUGAACGGGCCUGCUCGGUGUUUGUUGUAACCGACGCUGGGUGGUCCGGUGGGACAUGGUGGUAAGAAUAACUGUGCAAGGCACCGGGGUUAUCGGCCUCAAAUGCGCCCUGCACCCACGUUGCAAGUGGUAUUUAAUAUCGGCGGUGUCGCUGCUGCCUGCCCGUUGUUGGGUGUGAUUGGCGUGUUGCCUGCUCAAAGUGGUAGGUCCGCCAGUGGCUCCACUCGGGAUGGGUAGUUGGCGGUGCUGUCGUGUGGGGCCUCUGGCCAAUA